ACUUAGAAAUCUUCUUUCUAAUUAUCAAGAAGAAAAAUUAAAUUUUGGUAAUAAUCACUAAGUUCUAUCGUAAAACCUUCUUUCUAAUUACAUUAUAUACCAAGAAGAAAAAUUAGCUUUUCGACGAGCUAGGUCAAUUAAUAAUAAUUACCGUGCCAUUCUAAAAACUUACAAACCUUCUUUUAAUUAAUUUACACUGUAUACUCGAACGCACUUCUCACGAUCUCUCUUGGAUCAUCAACCAAUCGCUCAACCGAUGGUCAUUACCAAUGUUUGUUUUACAACCAAUCAGAGUUCACGUUCCUUUCGAACGGUUGAAUGGUUCGUUACGUUCGGUGUGUCGUUAAUCGAUAUCAUUCCAACGCGAGAGAGCGUGCCGAUUAAUUAGAACGACGAGAUGAUCCGCUCACGCGGCACGGAGAAACGAGGAAGCGAGCCAUCCUCGAGGAUGAUGUGGAACCAGGAAGCAGCCGGGACGAUACGAUCAAAGCCUGAUAAUUCCGACGGAACGGUUCGCCUCUUCGAUCGUUCUUCUAUUGAAAACGAGACCUCAAUUUGCUUCUUGCUAUGUGUUAAUAGCUUCUUCUGUAAUGGCUUCCUCGGACGGUGUUUAAGGGAAAAAAGUGUUGUUAGCUUGGUUAUGUGAGUUUGUAUUGGUUAAUUAUUAACAUUAAAAAAAGAAGUGGAAAAAGAUUAUGCAGUGAAAGGGAAAGGAGAUUUUUUUCAUUUUUUAGAAAAUUAAUGUAGAGAAAAUUAAAGAACGUGAUUAAAAAAUGCUAUUAUUUAAUAAUAAUAAAAGAUUGAAGGUAUAAUGUUACUUAUUGUUAAUGGAUUCUUCAUUAUAUUCGAGACGAAAUAAAUUCUUCCAUUUUUUUGACGAAUUUCCAUGUGAUUAUUUAUACUGAUUAUUAUUUAGACAAAAACACAUCAUAUUAUUUAUCUAAACGAUACGUUUUUAUAUUGUCUUAUAUAUGUACAAUGUAAAAUGAACUGAUACGAUAUGAUAUUUUGGCGGAAACAUGUUGAUAUUUUGCUUAAUAUAAUAGCGACAUUAUAUUAUCCCUAUUGCUGUUGCUACAUUAGAUACAUCACGUGACACAAUAGAACGCUCAGCAUUGGUGGAAGCCUGAUCACGUGACCUUUAUCUAAUUCAGUAAUACCCAUGAGAAUAAUGUGUGUCGUGUAUUAUCCUUUCAUGGAAAUUCGCAAGAGGAAAAUUGAGCUAUAUUUAGUAAUAAAGGGGACAGAAUACUAUUUUCAUUCUAAUCAUAGUUUCAGAUUUUCAGUAUGUUUUAUUUUUAUUCGAAAAGAUAAUUAGUUUCCCUUAUAUUUGAAAAAUUAUCAAACUUGAUUUGAAGAAAGAUAUUUUCAUAUUCUUCUUUGAUCAUAAUUUAUGAAUCGCUCGGUAUAUUCAUUCAUCUUGUGAAAAACAUUCAAAACGUAUUUAAUACAUACUUGCAUAAAAAUCCUAUUAAUGUAGUGAUAAAAAAUAAGCAAACGGAUAUUUUAAAUGUGAGUAUGCAAUUUCAAAUUUCCGAUCACGAGUUCAAAGAUCAAAUUUCAAGGAAAAAUUUUUUCAUUUGUUCGUCCAUUCGACGAACAUUUGUCUUCAGGGCAUCCUCAUUCCCGACCCAGGAAAAGCGUAUCGAAUCGGAAACAGAUUGCAUCGAGGAUAGAGUUUCCAUUCUUCGCCUGGAGAAAGAUCUGAUAAUCGGUAUUAACACGGGUCGGAUCGUAUCUGUCUCGAUACAUCCAAUGGAUACAAAGUUGGUGUAGAUGCGAUAGUUAUUAUGGAAAUCAGAAUAUUAUUCGUAAUUGAGGAAGUGGCUCAUUUUCUCGAACGAUCGAAGAAAUUGAUCUGUGAUUAGUAUUGUACACGUGGUUCUUCUUUAAAAAAAAUCGUAUUGCAGCGAAAAAAUUGGAAUUAAAAAUACUUAUAAUUUUGAGGUUAUAUGUACGUACUUAUAUAUUUAUUUUAUUCUUGGAGUUCAUAAUUGGAGAAUCUAUAAUUCAUAAGAUUCGAAUUUUUAUUAAUCAAAUCUCUCUAACUAGAUAAUUUCGAAAAAUCGAAAUCUUCUUAAUCUCUUUUUGAAUUAUAAAUUAUCGAAUCUCGUUAUCGAAGUUUGAUUGAAGUGAUACAACAAUAUAAAACAAUUACACGACACAUAUUCCAAUCACGAAGGAUCACAUAAAAUAUAACUUCAUCAAAUAAUAAAACAAGAACUACAAUAAAAUUCCAGAUGCUCGUAAACAUUGGUUUAUAGUUUUUCCCAGGACUUAGGUCGGGUGAGACCUUUGGUAUCCUUUUAUGGCCACACUAUUAUCAUGGAAUCUUGUAAAUGUUUGAACAACCAUCCCAAAGAAGUUUUAUCAUGUUGCGGCAGCAUCGCGUUGUACAUGGAACGUUUUAGUAACCAGAGACACAAAAUAAUUCACUUGAAUUCAUAAGAAAUGCACUGCCGAUAUACUCGGAACACUGGUUUAUCGGUCGGUCUGGUUCAUUAAUCUUUUACAUUUGGAAAGAUCGUUUGGCGAUUCAAUGAAUAAGCGACCUAAUGAAUUUCUUAAUUAAGAGACUUUUGUAUCUAAUUGAUUUUUGCCAAAGAUGAAAGACAAGAAUUUUUAAAGAUGAAAUUAUAGAAAAAAAAUUGUGAAAAAAUUGCUAUUUGCGGAUCAAUGAAUAAUUGAUAAUAUUUUAAACCUAAGAUUUUUAACUAAUUGUUAGAUUUGUAUUUUAGAUAAUUGGAAAUUUCUAAUCUCUAUUUUAACGUAUUAGUUUAAUAUAU
Long non-coding RNA from Apis mellifera (honey bee), 2786 nucleotides. RefSeq lists it as uncharacterized. NCBI's taxonomy places the organism in Eukaryota, Metazoa, Arthropoda, Insecta, Hymenoptera, Apidae. The transcript has 3 exons. The record is from RefSeq and is a predicted model, not a curated record.